RNAcentral lists this ribosomal RNA (92 nucleotides) under Klebsormidium flaccidum. The record is from RNAcentral. Lineage: Eukaryota; Viridiplantae; Streptophyta; Klebsormidiophyceae; Klebsormidiales; Klebsormidiaceae.
UGGUUCGUUCAUACCUAGGCUAUUGCGCCGGAUCCCAUCAGACCUCCGAAGCUAAACGCCUAUGGGCAAGAAUAGUACUGGGAUGGGUGACC